This 37-nucleotide ribosomal RNA is filed under the name Lasiodiplodia brasiliensis. RNAcentral describes it as "partial 28S ribosomal RNA". Lineage: Eukaryota; Fungi; Ascomycota; Dothideomycetes; Botryosphaeriales; Botryosphaeriaceae. The record is from RNAcentral.
CUGAACUUUUCUCAAGGUUGACCUCGGAUCAGGUAGG